AUUCCCCUAGUAACGGCGAGUGAAGCGGGAAGAGCUCAAAUUUGAAAUCUAGUAGCCUUCGGCUGCUCGAGUUGUAAUCUAGAGAAGUGUUUUCCGUGCCGGCCCAUGUACAAGUCCCUUGGAACAGGGCGUCAUAGAGGGUGAGAAUCCCGUCCUUGACAUGGACCCCCGGUGCUCUGUGAUACACUUUCAACGAGUCGAGUUGUUUGGGAAUGCAGCUCAAAAUGGGUGGUGAAUUCCAUCUAAAGCUAAAUAUUGGCGAGAGACCGAUAGCGAACAAGUACCGUGAGGGAAAGAUGAAAAGCACUUUGGAAAGAGAGUUAAACAGUACGUGAAAUUGUUGAAAGGGAAACGAUUGAAGUCAGUCAUGCUCUUUGGUAUUUAUAUCAUUGAGUGGGGUCAACAUCAGUUUUGAGCGAUGGAUAAAGGCACUAGGAAGGUAGCACUCUCGGGUGAACUUAUAGCCUAGCGUCAUAUACAUUGUUUGGGACUGAGGAACGCAGCAUGCCUUUAUGGCCGGGAUUCGUCCACGUACAUGCUUAGGAUGUUGACAUAAUG
RNAcentral lists this ribosomal RNA (558 nucleotides) under Naganishia diffluens. Its description in RNAcentral is "eukaryotic LSU rRNA". It matches the Rfam family "Eukaryotic large subunit ribosomal RNA", at positions 74 to 636 of the family's 3401-position model. The record is from RNAcentral. Lineage: Eukaryota; Fungi; Basidiomycota; Tremellomycetes; Filobasidiales; Filobasidiaceae.